Molecule: ribosomal RNA, 465 nt
Filed under: uncultured bacterium
Lineage: Bacteria
Description: partial 16S ribosomal RNA
Rfam family: Bacterial small subunit ribosomal RNA
Source: RNAcentral
GACGAACGCUGGCGGCGUGCUUAACACAUGCAAGUCGAACGGAAAGGCCCCUUUGGGGGUACUCGAGUGGCGAACGGGUGAGUAACACGUGAGUAACCUGCCCUUGACUUCGGGAUAACUUCAGGAAACUGGGGCUAAUACCGGAUAGGAAUCCUUGCUGCAUGGUGGGGGUUGGAAAGCUUCGGGGGGUUUGGAUGGACUCGCGGGUUGUCAGCUUGUUGGUGGGGUGGUGGCUUACCAAGGCUUUGACGGGUAGCUGGCCUGAGAGGGCGACCGGCCACAUUGGGACAGAGAUACGCCCCAGACUCCUCCGGGAGGCAGAAGUGGGGAAUAUUGCACAAUGGGCGGGAGCGUGAUGCAGCAACGCCGCGUGCGGGAUGACGGCCUUCGGGUUGUAAACCGCUUUCAGCAGGGGCGAAGCUUGUGGUGACGGUACCUGCAGAAGAAGCACCGGCUAACUACGUG